GGGGGCGACCUUGGUUUCGACGGGGGUUGCAAAGCGACUGCGGGCAUGUCGGGAUUUCAGUAACCCCGUAAAACACUGAAACUUAAAUAGUCGCAAACGACGAAACUUUCGCUAUCGCUGCGUAAGCGGUGCCGCUGCAACGAUUUGUUAAUGGGUCGUGUGGGGCAACCCACAGCAGCGUCAUUUUACAUUAAAUAGUUGGCUGUCGGACUACUUGGCAGUUGAUGAGAUUUAAGGUAGUUGGUUUUGUUUGUAGCCUGUCUUUCGGCGAUAAAUAAAACGAGAUUUUUAAAUAGAACAGACUAAACAUGUAGAACGCUUCGUAGAGGGCUUUCGGACGCGGGUUCGAUUCCCGCCGCCUCCACCA
RNAcentral lists this transfer-messenger RNA (367 nucleotides) under Neisseriaceae bacterium. It matches the Rfam family "transfer-messenger RNA". Rfam says of the family: Bacterial tmRNA, also known as 10Sa RNA or SsrA, is named for its dual tRNA and mRNA-like properties. Its role is to liberate the mRNA from a stalled ribosome. Lineage: Bacteria; Pseudomonadati; Pseudomonadota; Betaproteobacteria; Neisseriales; Neisseriaceae. The record is from RNAcentral.